Molecule: long non-coding RNA, 1716 nt
Filed under: Harpegnathos saltator (Jerdon's jumping ant)
Lineage: Eukaryota; Metazoa; Arthropoda; Insecta; Hymenoptera; Formicidae
Description: uncharacterized LOC105183102, transcript variant X2
Source: RNAcentral
UUUUCAUUUAAAGUAUAUAAAAUAAAUGAAUUGACGUUGGCCUGACCGAGCAUAUCAUAAAAAAUGUGCAUCGGCCAACGUAGCGUUUUUCUAACUACACUAUAUUGAUGGCACUUUUGAUCGAACGUAUCUGUUCCUCCUUUGGUUUUGUUAUAAAACAAUACGAUCUUGGGUUUUUUCGACUAUCAAUAACACCAUUAGUAUGUAGCGAUGAUAAUAAUAAUACAAUUUUUUCCUUUUUUGGAUUAUAUGACAUGAGUAUUUUGCCAUCAACAUAACAAAAUUGUGCGCUUGAACCGUCUUCUGGAAUUUUCUUAAAUGAUGCAGGGAUUUCGCGCUUAUUUUUUUAAUCGUCCCUACAAGUGUUAAAUUGAACUCUUUUUUUAAUUUAUCACAAAUUGGGACAGAAGUAAACCAGUUAUCACAUGUGAUAUUUCUCAUAUGUGAUAUGAUAAAUAGGCUCGCACAAUUUUCUAACAUAGUAUGAAAGAACAGCCUCAUUUGGUUCUUUGUCUACACUUCCGACGUAAGAUAUCGCAUUAUACAUAUAAUGGCCGCGUUCAGCAGACACAACUGUUGUAAAACUGUUGUACAACUGUUGGGUGGAUGUCUGCUGAACGCACUUUGAUCAGUUGCUGCUCCUCAACAUGUUUAGGGAGCGGACGUCAUUUUUUCCACCAAAGAUUUUCUUCGCUACCUAAGCUCAACAUGUUGGAAAACAAUAUGGCGGCGCCCAUGUGUUUGGAUGUAUUAGCUGAACUUAUAAAACUUAUUAAAUGUAAAAGAAAAAAUAAUGAAUUGUCGCAUUAGUAAUAAUGAUAUGUAUAGUGUUAACUAUACAUUUAAUGGUGCCGAAUAUAGUAUAACAGACACAAACGAGGUACACUCAAGACUACGAUCAGACACGAUCCGUAUCACUUAAAGAGCCUGAAAUCAAAGAGCCGCAAACUGCCUCCACGUUUUUGAUUGGCUGUACUAUAUGACGUCAGAAUACGUCAUGUUUGCGAGGAAAAAUCGUACAGUUCGCUAGCUGUCUGCUAGAUAAGAAGGUUGCGAGGUUAUUUUACAUUAAAUCUUUUGAAACAUGUUUCUAAUUAUUUGUAGUUAUGUUGCGGUGUUUAAAUAUUGAUUUGCAUCAUGGUACGAGUAUGUAGUGCAAAUAAUUGUUCAAAUAAGUACUGGGAUAAAGUUCAGGAGGUGCCCUUGUAUUCCUCAUCUGCAGCAACAAUGGUUAGAAAAAUUAAACAGAAGUACUAUGGGAAAUGAAUUUUAUCUUUCUGAGGAACAUUUCAGCAGAGAAGAUUUACAAACAAAUACUCGAAGCCUUAUUCCUAUAAUUUUUUGCAACUGCUCAAAUACUUGUAGGUCACAAUCUUGCAACAGCUUGUCACAAUCUUGCAACAGCUAUUCUGAAGAGAUUCAUUCAAAUGCGACUAAAAAUUUUCACUGGUCAUGAAGAACGAAAAGAAUCCGGUUCAGAAUUUGGUAGUUUCAGCAUGGGCUCGCGUUUGUUAGGCAAAAGCAUGAAAUAAAACUUUAUUAUUAGUCAGCAGAGACUUCCAACGAUAUUGAGUAAAGUAAUUCUGUUUUUAUUUUUAGUAUGUUAGUCUAAUUGUUGUCACAAGAAAUUUCUAUUGAAUGCAAUAACCCAGAUAGAACACAGUGUUAGCAAAAUAUUUUAGAGAUAUAGAUGUGAAAUAUUAUAUAAAUAUUGUA